RNAcentral lists this ribosomal RNA (254 nucleotides) under uncultured bacterium. Its description in RNAcentral is "partial 16S ribosomal RNA". It matches the Rfam family "Bacterial small subunit ribosomal RNA", at positions 524 to 776 of the family's 1533-position model. The record is from RNAcentral.
CACGUAGGGGGCAAGCGUUGUCCGGAUUUAUUGGGCGUAAAGAGCUCGUAGGUGGUUCGGUAAGUCGGGUGUUAAACCCCCAGGCUCAACCUGGGGACGCCACUCGAUACUGCUGUGACUAGAGUCCGGUAGGGGAGCGUGGAAUUCCUGGUGUAGCGGUGAAAUGCGCAGAUAUCAGGAGGAACACCAGCGGCGAAGGCGGCGCUCUGGGCCGGUACUGACACUGAGGAGCGAAAGCCAGGGGAGCAAACGGG